AAUAGAUACCCCGGUAGUCCACGCCGUAAACGUUGGAUACUAGGUGUGGCGGUCUUACCAACGACUGCCGUGCCGAAGCUAACGCAUUAAGUAUCCCGCCUGGGGAGUACGGCCGCAAGGCUAAAACUCAAAGGAAUUGACGGGUCCCCGCACAAGCGGCGGAGCAUGCGGCUUAAUUCGAUGCAACCCGAAGAACCUUACCUGGGUUUGACAUCACGGGAAAAGCUGUAGAAAUACAGUGUCCAUUAGGGCCCGUGACAGGUGGUGCAUGGCUGUCGUCAGCUCGUGUCGUGAGAUGUUGGGUUAAGUCCCGCAACGAGCGCAACCCUUGUCCUAUGUUGCCAGCGGUUCGGCCGGGGACUCAUAGGAGACUGCCGGGGAUAACUCGGAGGAAGGUGAGGACGACGUCAAGUCAUCAUGCCCCUUAUAUCCGGGGCUGCACGCAUGCUACAAUGGCCGGUACAACGGGCAGCGAUCCCGCGAGGGUGAGCGAAUCCUAAAAAGCCGGUCCUAGUUCGGAUUGAAGUCUGCAACUCGACUUCA
This 543-nucleotide ribosomal RNA is filed under the name uncultured bacterium. RNAcentral's name for it is "bacterial SSU rRNA". It matches the Rfam family "Bacterial small subunit ribosomal RNA", at positions 777 to 1320 of the family's 1533-position model. The record is from RNAcentral.